CCUUGGUAGACGACGCCAUGGUGUCUUUUUUGACGGAAAAAAAUAUCCAGUUCUUCUACGGUCCGGCGUAGAAAACGUGUAUUAUUUCUGUGGAAGAGGCGGGAAGCCCGCGAGCCCUGGGAUGUUGCGGCGGCGCUGGGAUCAAUGAGCGCGACCUUGGCUCGCGGCAGGGCGCGCGAGCGCACGCGGGACUGGAAUGCCGAGGAGUGCGGAUGCCUCGCGGCUGACAGUACCGAUCGAUUUGGGGGGACAGGCGGCCUGCGUCCCCCCAGCCUCUCGCCGUGACCGCAAACUCAGCGUCCCGCUCAGCUCUGAGCGAAGGCCGCUGUACUGUUAUUGAACUCAAUCCCCAUCUCGUCAGCCCACUGCCACGUCUUGAAUUCCGCUUCUGAGCAUUUUUUUAUAUCGUGGUGAACGGAAUAUUCCCAAAUAAAGAAUUGUUCUCCAGCUUUUAA
This is a non-coding RNA of Lepisosteus oculatus (spotted gar), 455 nucleotides long. The record is from RefSeq and is a predicted model, not a curated record. Lineage: Eukaryota; Metazoa; Chordata; Actinopteri; Semionotiformes; Lepisosteidae.